Long non-coding RNA from Dermochelys coriacea (leatherback sea turtle), 6112 nucleotides. RefSeq lists it as uncharacterized. The transcript is spliced from 7 exons. The record is from RefSeq and is a predicted model, not a curated record. NCBI's taxonomy places the organism in Eukaryota, Metazoa, Chordata, Testudines, Dermochelyidae.
CACCAAAGCAGCUCCCUUCCUAGGCAUGCUUUCCCUGAUGACUUCUUCAUCUUGUUACAAGAACUUUUUCCCUAGCAUACUUUUUGGGGGUGGCUGGUCCUUUAAAUUUUUGCAGAGCCAAGCAGCUGCAGUUCUAAAGUCAUUUUGUAACCAGCAGCUGCUGAAUUUCUUUUCCAGCUGGUGAGUAUCUGUUCUGUCCUUUCCCUCCUCCCUCUCCCCCUUACUUUUUUUUUAUUGGUAAAGAGGAAGGUAGAUGAAAAACAGCAGUAUGGCUGAACCAAAGCAUUUAAAAAUCAUGAGAUUUUAAGUAGUAAUAAUCAUUGUUUUUUUUUAUCUUCUGCUCUUGGAGGCUUUAGUGUUCAUAUUUUCAAGCGUUUCUCCACAACUGCAAGAGCUAGAAAUAAAUCUGUGUGCUCUGAAAUUAAAUAGGAAACAGCUGGAAAGCAAGUUUUAAUUCUGAUUUUGAAGAAAAUCCCUCAGGGGUGUAAACUGUUUUACAGGGAUGUAAAGAAGGGUAUAAACACAGACAAUUUCAGAGGAAGCCUUUGGUGGAACCAGCAGUGGAACCCAAGCACCCUGACUCUCAGUCCACUGCUCCAAACACCAAAAAACACUCAAGAAAAUGUCACCUGGAUACAAAAAGAGAGAAAGCAAAUCUUUUUCAACCCUAUCACUGUGAGCCCUAGUGGCUGUCCUGAGCCAGUGGAGAACUUCAAUUUUUACCAAAGAAACAGAAUACAAGCUAAGUACAAACCUGUCUUCAGCCUGUGUUUUAAAAAGAUCUGCUUAAUAAAAAUCUCUUUACCUUCACAGAAUAUAUCAUCUGCUUCUCCAAGAAUAGUCAGAUCUUCCUCUAGGUGCUGCAUCGUGGCCACAGCUCUGCCAGAGUGAUUGGCCACAAGAGCUGCCAGCAUUGUCACUUCUCCCCACAUGGUGAGGAGACCAAAGAUGGCUCCAAGAGGCGCUCGAUGCAUGUUGUGAGGAAUUUGGAGUAAUAGCAUUGCAAUGCUGAUAUAUUGGAAUCCAGGAGCAAAUGAGCCGAUCUUGGCCAUGCACCAGUUUUUAAAUGGGGAAGGGGCAUCUAGUCAUCUUGACCCCAAAGCAGGGGAGGGCACACAGGUCACUCAUGGAUGCCCACAAAGCAGUGUGGGGUAACCGUUGGAGGACUAUCAAGGAAUUAAAAGGCAUCAAAAGCUGUUUUCUUUCCAGAAAAUAUCUGUCACCCGAAUGAGCACUAACUAGCCUGGUGAUGAAUGAUAAUGACUCAACUUCCACUUCAACACACAAAGAAAAGUCUUUUUGAUUCGUUCCCAUUUGCCACACUGUCUUCCCCUAAAUGACAGGAUCAUGUACAACAUCAUCACUGGCUUGUGAAGUUUCUCGCAGAAACCUGUCUCAAAAGGAAAAUCAGACCUCUUUAUUCAAGAUGAAAUGCUUUAAUGUGUGAAAAUGAUCUAUAUCGGAGUGGUUCUGCUCUAUCUCCUGUUCUCCCUGCCCCCCUCUUUGGCUAUUUUGUAUUUGGGAUUUUUCUAUCAGCUUGCAGACCAAUUUAUUUGUCUUUUUCUGAUCUCAGGCAUCUAAGCGAAAACACCUGUCCCCUCCCUUCCUUUUGAAGCAGCAACUUUUCUCGUUCCCUACUCUCAAGCAGCAUUUUAUAUCUUUCUCUUUAAUAUGUUUAGAAACUUUGUUACUUUUCUUGUCACCUGUUGGUUAACUCAGCGCACUUCCCUCCCGCCAGCAAUUACUCAUUUUUCUUUGACAUAACCACAUCUGAUGCCUGUUAUCACAGAAAGUUACCACCCAUCCUCAAAUAGCCUGUAAACAAAGAGUGAAGGGUGACAACUGAAGUGUUGAAAACAAGGGUGGGGAGCGUGGAUCAGAGAAGUAAUAGAAAGCAGUUUAUAGAAAAGCUCUCCUUUAGCAACCUUAACUCUCUGUUUGCUUUUGUUUCUCAUUUCCUCUGCAACCUAUUGAAAAAGAUACCUGUCACAUCAGUCUCUGUGAGAUGUUAUAAUAUUGCCACAAUAGCUGCUGAGCAUUCAUUUCAGUAUGUAAUUCAAAACUCCCGUGUGACCAAUAUUUUGAGUGUCAUAUCAACAGUUAGAACUCUCAGAUCCAGAAAACUUCUAAGUACUUGACCCUGCUUUAAUUGAAAUCAAUGGGAAAACUCCCAUUUGCUAUGACUGCAAUGGGAAGACGCACCAUGUUAGAAAGGGUGCUAGAGCAAACAUGAUGUUAGAAAUGACAGGAUCUCAUGUAGAUGGGGCCCAGUUGUGUUUAAAAAUGUCUUAGCUGAUCAUAGUUAAUCAGAUUCCACCCAGAAAAAAAAUCAAGUUUAGUAUGAUGUUAGUUAAUGUUUUCCAAUAUCUGGUUUCCCAGUGUAGACAAGGCCACGUGAUUCCAGUGGUGGAGGAUUGGGCUCUCCAGCUGUGAGCCUGGUCUUGUUGGGGGAAGUUCCAGCCUCUUUUCAGAGAAGCCACGUGCCAAGCCAGGGAAAAUAUUUCACCUUGAGAAACAACUGCCCUACAGCCACAGAGUGUCUGCACAAGAUAAGAAACCAGCUGAAACGGACCAAGGAAGAUAUGUUCCAGAUUGUGCUGCAACAGUCAGAGGCUGAAAACACUGAACGCAAGAAGUGGAGGGAAAGUGAAAAGCAGAAAAGAGAAGAGAAGGAUUCUUACAACAGGGAUACCACAGAGAGGCUGAUUAAAGUUAUGGAUUGUCAAACCGACAUCUUCAGACUCUCAGAACAUUGCAGACUGAGCAGAUGCAUACCCACCUUCCCCUUCACUGUGAACUCUUUCCCAUGCACUCCCCAAACUCCCCCUGUGCAUUCCUUUCCACCUUCUGGCGCUUUGUGCUUUCCUCUACACUCCCACCCCCGGAGACAGCUGUUCCAAUGAAAGCAGGACCUAUACUCAACUAUGAAAAUCAUCCCCCUCCCAUUCCCCCCCCCAGCUGUGUAGAUGGCUAUGUAUGUCUGUGUCUUGGUGUGGUUUGUCUGUCAGUAAAAGCAGUGUUUUUAUUAAUACACACUCUUUAUUUUCUCACAAGGGAUGAUACCUCCUGGCACCAUGCAAAUCAGCACUUUUAUUAAUCCUGCAUUGAAUUCUAGGCCUUAACAAUCACAGUUGCUUCAUAGGCUACCAGAUUUAAGUAAUCAUUACAGUCCCAAGCAUAGCAACAAUCAUUACUGGCUUUCUUGUUGGAAGUCUUGUCUCAAGGCAUCCCUGAUUCUUACUGCCCCACGUUGCGCCACUCUAAUAGCCCUGGUAUCUGGCUGCUCAAAAUCAGCAGCCAGGCAUUCUACCUCAGCAAUCCACCCUUGAGAAAACCAUUCGCCCUUCCUUUCACAAAUAUUAUGCAGUGUACAACACGCGACUGUAACCAUUGGAAUAUUUUCCUUGCUCAGGUCUAGCCUGCCAUAUAGGCAUCGCCAGUGCGCCUUUAAACAGCCAAAUGCACAUUCAACAGUCAUUCUGCACCUACUCAGCCUGUUGCUGAACCGCUCCUUACUGCCAUCUAGGUUUCCCGUGUACGGCUUCAUGAGCCAUGGCAUUAAGGGGUAUGCUGGGUCUCCCAAGAUCACUAUGGGCAUUUCUACUUUCCCUAUGGUGAUCUUCUGGUCUGGAAAAAAAGUCCCUGCUUGUAGCUUUCUGUACAGACCAGUGUUCCUUAAGAUACAUACGUCAUGCACUUUUCCAGACCACCCCAUGUUAAUGUCAGUGAAUUGCCCACGGUGAUUCACAAGUGCCUGCAAAACAAUAGAGAAGUACCCCUUCUGAUUGAUGUACUUGGUUGCAAGGUGAUCCAGUGCCAGAAUUGGAAUAUGUGUCCUAUCUAUCACCUCACCACAGUUAGGGAAACCCAUAUCUGCAAAACCAUCCACAGUGUCACUCACAUUGCCAAGAGUCAUGGUCUUUCACAGCAGGAUGUGAUUAAUGGCCUUGCACACUUGUGUUAACACAGCACCAAUGAUUGACGUCCCCACUCCAAACUGGUUCAUGACUGACUGGUAGCAGUCUGGAGUUGCUAGCUUCCACACUGCGAUUGCCAUGCGCUUCUCCACCGAGAGGGCAGCUCUCAUUUGGAAGGCCUUGUGCCGCAGGACUGGGGCAAGCUCUGCACACAGUUCUAUGAAGGUGGCUUUCCACAUCUGAAAGUUCCGCAGCCACUUCUCAUCAUCCCAGACUUCUAUAACUAUCCAAUCCCACCAGUCUGUGCUAGUUUCCCGAUCCCAAAAUCGACGUUCCACAGCAUUCAGCUUCUCUGUGAAUGCCAAAAGCAAUCUAAUGUUGCUGCUGUCCAUGUCGGACACCAUGUCAGGCAACUGUGACUGCCGUUGCCUUUGUAACUUCUAGAAUAAUUCCACUGCCACUCACGAUGUGCUAGUGAGAGCUAACAGAACAGUGGAGAGCAGUGCGGGGUCCAUUCCUGGAGAUAGAUAUGGCGGGGAAAGCAUUAAGCGACGUUGAAAAAUGCCGCAAACUGAAGAUGGAAGCACAUUGAAUGCUGGGACAGAAAGCAGUGCAUCAUGGGGCAUUGAGCCUGGACCCAUAAUGCACCGCAAUCCCCUCCGCCUUCCCACAAGACCUAGCAGUAGAGGGGGGAAGUAGAAGAGGGAGAGCUGCAAUGUGGGAUAGCUACCCAUAGUGCACUGCUUUCAUUGGCAAUGCAAGUGCCACAAGUGUGGUCACGCAAUGACACCAGUGGAAGAUAGUGUGGCCAUGCAACAGUGCUUUUAAUUAACGCGCUUUAAUGAAAGUGGUAUAACUUUUGGUGCAAAAACUUGCCAGUCAGACUUUUACUUUGUUGUGCUUUAUGUAUCUGAAGGUUAGACUUUUAAGGAGUGAAAUAUGUACAAUAUUACAUAAAAUGUUUAUAUGUAUUUUAUAAAUAAUGGGAUAAAUUCAGUGAAGCUACAUGGAAGAUAUAAACUAUCUCUUCCUGAGCCCCCUGGACUCUCUGUGCCCCAGUGGAGCAAUUUUGCUGCUGCCACACUCUAGGGUUUUCCUCAGGUGCUGGAGGCCAGGAGAGGUAACUCCAUUUUCUGGCUAAGGCUUCACAGAAGCCUUGCUAGCAGAAGCUACCGAAGGGAGUGUUAAUUUCUCUAAGUCCUACUUUGGCCAGAGCUGUGAACUCUGAGCUGGACUGGCCCAUACAAACCCCUUGGUGGACAGAAAGAUGCAGACACUUUCAUGCACUGCAACUCCUCCCCAUCAGACUUUCCAGGGUCUAUACUGACAGAAGCCAGCACAAACCUAAGCUCAACGUGCACCUGUUUUGUAGGAAGACCUUAAAAAGAGAGAAGGAAAUUUUUUAGUUUUGAGAUUUUUGAACUCCACUUGAUUUUAAGAGGGUUAUAAAUGUACUUCCCACCUCAAGAUGCAUCUGAGCUGCAGAGUUAGAAUUAGGAUCCAAACUUUCCCAAAUACUGGAUAUUCAAAUCCAGGGGUUUCAUUCAGGCUUCUUUCUCUUCUCAGCUUUUUCACACUGUAGUAUGAGACUAGCAGAUAACCAUCUCAUCCUGAAGUGUACAUGUAAUCCCCCCUGCUUCUCCCCAUUGUUUUUCCUUGUCUAUUUACCCCUCCUUGUACCUUUUCCUGCCCCUUCUCUGGUUCUUUCAAAUACAAUAUGAAUGGUGAAUGGGUUUUUCAAGCAUAAAGUAUUAUAUGAUAGGGAAUAUUACAUUUAUACUUUCACUUUCCGGCAAUGCUUUGAGAGUCCUUACAAAAAUGCCAUUGUCCUUGUAUUUGCCACUUUUUGGUACACUUGAUGCCACUAUAGAUUGAGUUCUCUGAAUAAUUGCAACAGCAGAGUUUACUUCUCUUUUCUGAAACCAAUAGGAUAAGAGGGCACAUGGGAACGGAACCUGUGGUAAAGGAAACCUUACCACAAGGCAUCCCCACCCUGUUUGACUUCCCCCUGAUAUAAUGCUACAGAACGUGUGCAGGAACUGUAUGUACCCUAGGGUCAUAGUAUCUCUCCUGUAGAGAUUGCUUCACUGUCAAUCCUAUGGCCUAGCAUAGAAAAAUAGAUUUUUAAACAAUGUAACUCUAUUUUGCAAUGUAAUGAAGCAAUGGAAGAUUCGGAAACAGUGUGAUUAACACAG